UACGGGGGGGUGCAAGCGUUGUUCGGAUUUAUUGGGCGUAAAGCGCGUGUAGGCGGUUUGUUAAGUCUGUUGUGAAAGCCCUGGGCUCAACCCGGGAAGUGCACUGGAUACUGGCAGACUUGAAUACGGGAGAGGAGAGUGGAAUUCCUGGUGUAGGAGUGAAAUCCGUAGAUAUCAGGAGGAACACCGGUGGCGAAGGCGGCUCUCUGGACCGAUAUUGACGCUGAGACGCGAAAGCGUGGGUAGCAAACAGG
RNAcentral lists this ribosomal RNA (254 nucleotides) under uncultured bacterium. RNAcentral's name for it is "partial 16S ribosomal RNA". It matches the Rfam family "Bacterial small subunit ribosomal RNA", at positions 524 to 776 of the family's 1533-position model. The record is from RNAcentral.